AACGAACGCUGGCGGCAUGCCUAACACAUGCAAGUCGAACGAGACCUUCGGGUCUAGUGGCGCACGGGUGCGUAACGCGUGGGAACCUGCCCUUAGGUUCGGAAUACCUCCCCGAAAGGGGUGCUAAUACCGGAUAAUGUCUUCGGACCAAAGAUUUAUCGCCUUUGGAUGGGCCCGCGUUGGAUUAGCUAGUUGUUAGGGUAAAAGCCUACCAAGGCGACGAUCCAUAGCUGGUCUGAGAGGAUGAUCAGCCACACUGGGACUGAGACACGGCCCAGACUCUUACGGGAGGGAGCAGUGGGUAAUAUUGGACAAUGGGCGAAAGGCUGAUCCAGCAAUGCCGGGUGAGUGAUGAAGGCCGUAGGGUUGUAAAGCUCUUUUACCCAGGAUGAUAAUGACAGUACCGGGAGAAUAAGCUCCGGCUAACUCCGUG
This 433-nucleotide ribosomal RNA is filed under the name uncultured bacterium. RNAcentral's name for it is "partial 16S ribosomal RNA". It matches the Rfam family "Bacterial small subunit ribosomal RNA", at positions 29 to 507 of the family's 1533-position model. The record is from RNAcentral.